Long non-coding RNA from Suricata suricatta (meerkat), 209 nucleotides. RefSeq lists it as uncharacterized. NCBI's taxonomy places the organism in Eukaryota, Metazoa, Chordata, Mammalia, Carnivora, Herpestidae. The record is from RefSeq and is a predicted model, not a curated record. The transcript is spliced from 2 exons.
GUCACCAGUGGAGGAUACCAGCCCAGCCUUCUAGGAGCUUCUUGAUUCCUCAGCAUAGGACUAAUACUUUUGGAGGAGGAAAUAAUUAGACCCAGCCAACCUGCCAAUCAUCUGUCUAUGUGCUGCUCACGAGCAAGACCAUCACUAAAUAGGAUUGAACGUUAGGGUUUUUGGUUACUGCAUAAAUGUUUGUAAAUCAGUUGACUACA